This 28-nucleotide unclassified non-coding RNA is filed under the name Mus musculus (house mouse). Its description in RNAcentral is "oocyte_clustered_small_RNA4471". The record is from RNAcentral. Lineage: Eukaryota; Metazoa; Chordata; Mammalia; Rodentia; Muridae.
UGUUGACCUGCACUCAUUAGCCCAAUGU